AGUAACGCGUGAGUAACCUGCCUUCAAGAGGGGGAUAACAUUCUGAAAAGAAUGCUAAUACCGCAUGACAUAUCGGAACCACAUGGUUUUGAUAUCAAAGAUUUUAUCGCUUGAAGAUGGGCUCGCGUCUGAUUAGAUAGUUGGUGGGGUAACGGCCUACCAAGUCGACGAUCAGUAGCCGGACUGAGAGGUUGAACGGCCACAUUGGGACUGAGACACGGCCCAGACUCCUACGGGAGGCAGCAUG
RNAcentral lists this ribosomal RNA (247 nucleotides) under uncultured bacterium. RNAcentral's name for it is "partial 16S ribosomal RNA". It matches the Rfam family "Bacterial small subunit ribosomal RNA", at positions 109 to 353 of the family's 1533-position model. The record is from RNAcentral.